CCUACGUGAGGCAGCAGUGGGGGAUAUUGCACAAUGGGGGAAACCCUGAUGCAGCGACGCCGCGUGUGGGAAGACGGUCCUCUGGAUUGUAAACCACUGUCCCCAGGGACGAAGAUGACGGUACCUGGGGAGUAAGCUCCGACUAACUACGUGCCAGCAGCCGCGGUAAUACGUAGGGAGCGAGGGUUGUCCGGAUUUACUGGGUGUAACGGGAGCGUAGGGGGGACUGCAAGUUGGCGGUAAAAUCUACCGGCUCAACCGGUAGGCGCACUUAAAACUGCAGUUCGUGAGUGAAGUAGAGGCAGGCGGAAUGCGUAGUGUAGCGGUGAAAUGCGUAGAUAUUAGGAGGAACACCAGUGGCGAAGGCGGCCUGCUGGGCUUUAACUGACGCUGAGGCUCGAAAGUGUGGGGAGCAAACAGGAUUAGAUACCCCAGUAGUC
RNAcentral lists this ribosomal RNA (440 nucleotides) under uncultured bacterium. RNAcentral's name for it is "partial 16S ribosomal RNA". It matches the Rfam family "Bacterial small subunit ribosomal RNA", at positions 338 to 795 of the family's 1533-position model. The record is from RNAcentral.